AGAACGAACGCUGGCGGCAUGCCUAACACAUGCAAGUCGAACGAGACCUUCGGGUCUAGUGGCGCACGGGUGCGUAACGCGUGGGAACCUGCCCUUAGGUUCGGAAUAACUCAGAGAAAUUUGAGCUGAUACCGGAUAAUGUCUUCGGACCAAAGAUUUAUCGCCUAUGGAUGGGCCCGCGUAGGAUUAGCUAGUUGGUGGGGUAAAGGCCUACCAAGGCGACGAUCCUUAGCUGGUCUGAGAGGAUGAUCAGCCACACUGGGACUGAGACACGGCCCAGACUCCUACGGGAGGCAGCAGUGGGGAAUAUUGGACAAUGGGCGAAAGCCUGAUCCAGCAAUGACCGCGUGAGUGAUGAAGGCCGUUAGGGUUGUAAAGCUUACCGUUUACCCGGGAUGGUAAUAAGUGAACGAGGUAACCGGAGUAAAGAAGCCGUCCGGACGUACCUCCGCGCCAGCACGCCGACGGUAAUCGAGACGGCGGACGU
Molecule: ribosomal RNA, 487 nt
Filed under: uncultured soil bacterium
Lineage: Bacteria
Description: bacterial SSU rRNA
Rfam family: Bacterial small subunit ribosomal RNA
Source: RNAcentral